GAGUGUGUGAUGUGUUUUUUUGGGGAUGGGAACGUAGAUACAUGUGACUUGAGCUGCGAGGUCACAUACAUGUCAGAUAUUGGCUUUUCCAUCGUCGUCUCGUCGCCAGAAGCUGGAGCCUCACAAAGCGUCGGUCGCCAAAAGCUGCAGUCGGUGACGGCAUCGCCACAGUUCUCAAAAAGGCAUCACCGACAUGAGGCAAGGAGACGCAAGCGCUUCUCCAGUGACGGCAGGGGCGACGUGUCAGUCACAUUUAAGAGCGCGUUUUAUUCCUUGGACAGUAAACAGAUCCCAAGAUGCCCAGCUACAUGAAAUCCUUCGAGCGCCUGUACCCUUUGAGAAUAAAACCCCAGUCCAUCUUCCGAACAGGAGCUUUUAUUCCACACAACAGAAAAGCAGCAGGUUAACGUCCCGGCUCUCUCCGGCCCUGAGGUGGACCAGAACAAGGAGAGCUUUAGGGAGAGGAUUAGGGAGAGCGAGUGCGGACAGCACGGACCUGGAGAAACCCCAAGCAAAAAAAAGGGACGAUUUCGACUCUCAUGUUUCGCGAAGCAGCUGUUUCGUUUAUUACAUAUUUCUUUCUAAUAGUUGGCCUUAUUUGAGAAAUAAAACGUGAAAGUGCACAUA
Molecule: long non-coding RNA, 627 nt
Organism: Lepisosteus oculatus (spotted gar)
Lineage: Eukaryota; Metazoa; Chordata; Actinopteri; Semionotiformes; Lepisosteidae
Source: RefSeq, a predicted model, not a curated record